This 569-nucleotide ribosomal RNA is filed under the name Minervarya asmati (Bangladeshi cricket frog). RNAcentral's name for it is "partial large subunit ribosomal RNA". It matches the Rfam family "Bacterial large subunit ribosomal RNA", at positions 1845 to 2622 of the family's 2925-position model. Lineage: Eukaryota; Metazoa; Chordata; Amphibia; Anura; Dicroglossidae. The record is from RNAcentral.
AUAGAGGUCCAGCCUGCCAGUGAUAUUUUUUAACGGCCGCGGUACUCUGACCGUGCGAAGGUAGCAUAAUCACUUGUUCUUUAAAUGAGGACUAGUAUCAACGGCAUCACGAGGAUUUUACUGUCUCCUUUUUCCUAUCGGUGAAACUGAUCUCCCCGUGAAGAAGCGGGGAUAAUUCUAUAAGACGAGAAGACCCCAUGGAGCUUUAAACCCAGAGACACCUCAAACCCCCCCCUUUCCAUAAAAGUUUUUAUGUGCUGUCCUCUGGUUUUAGGUUGGGGUGACCGCGGAGUAAAACUUAACCUCCACAACGCACGGAACUUCUUCCUUAUCUAAGAGCAACAUCUCAAAGAAUUAACAUAUUGACGUAAAAUGAUCCAAUAACUUUUAUUUUGAUCAACGAACCAAGUUACCCUGGGGAUAACAGCGCAAUCCAUUUCCAGAGCCCCUAUCGACAAAUGGGUUUACGACCUCGAUGUUGGAUCAGGGUAUCCCAGUGGUGCAGCCGCUACUAAUGGUUUGUUUGUUCAACAAUUAAAACCCUACGUGAUCUGAGUUCAAACCGGAGA